GCAGCCACUGUUGUACAUAAUUAGGAUAAACCAUUGCUUACGAAAAAACAAUUCUGAAUUCCUUUUUAGUUGAUAAUGAUGCUUUGUUAACGAUAUAUGCCAUUUUACAGUAAAAAAAAAAUAAUAGGCUUUAUAUAUUUUCUUUAAUUAUAUUUAUUUAAUGUUGUACCGAUUUUCCCAGUUUUCCUAGUGUUCCUAGUGUUUUCUCAGUGUUCCCAUGUUUUGUCUCAGUUUUUCACAUUUACUGAGAAAACUGAUAAAAUCGAAAAAUUACCUAUUUAAAGUACCUCCCCAAAGAAAUUUCUUUUUAGAAACAUUGCUAUCAUUAUAAGUUGGAGCAAAAUUUAUUGCUGGUAGAAAAGUUAUACACAGGAAAAAACAUUGUAAUAUUUUAGUAAUAUAUUACGGACAUAUUCCCUUUUCAUAAAUUUUUAAAAUUUAAUGAGAACUCUUGAGAAAAAUUGAAAAAUCACCUCCCUAAAGUACCUCCACACACUGAUUUCCUUUCAGAAAAGGUGCUAAAUUUAGAAAUCUGAUAUUGUUAAUAUAUCCGAAUGUUGUUUUUAACAUUUAUUGAUAAUUGUAGUCUUAAAAAAACAAAAAAUAAGUUUUUAAAAAAUAGGUAUCUACUUAAAAAUAUCUGGUUGUUUUUGUUUUUUAAUCCAUCAAAAAACUGAACAAUUGCUGCAAUUAUAAUUUUCUCCACAGGCCAUCUAUAUUUUGAACUCCCUGCAAAUCAUUUUUUGAAACUGGGGCAUUAUAUUCAUGAGUUGACCGUGUGAAAGUUUUUUGUCUCUAAAAUAAUGCGCUUUAUGGUUUUAAAAUAUUGAGUUUUGAUAGUACUAGGUCAAAUAUAUUAUAUCUCUUAUUUAUUACU
Non-coding RNA from Cinara cedri, 877 nucleotides. Lineage: Eukaryota; Metazoa; Arthropoda; Insecta; Hemiptera; Aphididae. The record is from the annotation of a GenBank genome assembly.